This 491-nucleotide ribosomal RNA is filed under the name uncultured microeukaryote. Its description in RNAcentral is "bacterial SSU rRNA". It matches the Rfam family "Eukaryotic small subunit ribosomal RNA", at positions 21 to 549 of the family's 1831-position model. The record is from RNAcentral.
UAGUCAUAUGCUUGUCUCAAAGAUUAAGCCAUGCAUGUCUAAGUUUAAGUACUUCGAAUGACAAAACUGCGAACGGCUCAUUACAACAGUGAUAAUUGAUUUGAUGGACUUUCUACACGGAUAACCGUGGGAAACCAAGGCUAAUACGUGCGUAAGACUUCGGUCUGAGUUUAUUAGCUUAAGGACCAUUUAUGAUGGUUCAUGGUAAAUGAUCGGAUCGCAUACUUCGGUGGCGAUGGAUCAUUCAAGUCUCUGACCUAUCAGCUUUCGACGGUCGGGUAUUGGCCCACCGUGGCUUUGACGGGUGACGGGGAAUUAGGGUUCGAUUCCGGAGAGGGAGCCUGAGAAACGGCUACCACGUCUAAGGAUGGCAGCAGGCGCGUAAAUUACCCAAUUCUGACAUAGAGAGGUAGUGACAAGAAAUAGCAACGUGAGGCAACAGCUUUGCGAUUGCAAUGAGUAGAAUGUAAACGUUUCUACGAGAAACAAUU